AGCGAACGCUGGCGGCAGGCUUAACACAUGCAAGUCGAGCGGGCCUUUCGGGGUCAGCGGCGGACGGGUGAGUAACGCGUGGGAACGUGCCCUCUGGUUCGGAAUAACUCAGGGAAACUUGAGCUAAUACCGGAUACGCCCUUUUGGGGAAAGGCUUGCUGCCGGAGGAUCGGCCCGCGUCUGAUUAGCUAGUUGGUGAGGUAACGGCUCACCAAGGCGACGAUCAGUAGCUGGUCUGAGAGGAUGAUCAGCCACACUGGGACUGAGACACGGCCCAGACCCCUACGGGAGGCAGCAGGGGGGAAUAUUGGACAAGGGGCGCAAGCCUGAUCCCGCCAGGCCGGGGGAGUGAUGAAGGCCUUAGGGUUGUAAAGCCCUUUUAUCCGGGACGAAAAUGACGGUACCGGGGAAAUAAGCCCCGGCUAACUUCGU
This 432-nucleotide ribosomal RNA is filed under the name uncultured bacterium. RNAcentral describes it as "partial 16S ribosomal RNA". It matches the Rfam family "Bacterial small subunit ribosomal RNA", at positions 28 to 506 of the family's 1533-position model. The record is from RNAcentral.